AGCAGCCGCGGUAAAUUCCAGCUCCAAUAGCGUAUAUUAAAGUUGUUGCAGUUAAAAAGCUCGUAGUUGAAUUUCGAGACCGGUUUAUUGGUCGUGCUUUUGUACGUACCGGUAUUAUUGGUUUCUCCUUUCUGACGAACUAUAAUGCCAUUAAUUUGGUGUUAUGGGGAAUCAGGACUGUUACUUUGAAAAAAUUAGAGUGUUUAAAGCAGGCUCACGCUUGAAUACAUUAGCAUGGAAUAACGGAAUAGGACGUUUGAUUCUAUUUUGUUGGUUUCUAGGAUCGACGUAAUGAUUAAUAGGGACAGUCGGGGGCAUUCGUACUUCAUAGUCAGAGGUGUAAUUCUUGGAUUUAUUGAAGACUAACUACUGCGAAAGCAUUUGCCAAGGAUGUUUU
Molecule: ribosomal RNA, 397 nt
Filed under: uncultured Glomeromycotina
Lineage: Eukaryota; Fungi; Glomeromycota
Description: SSU rRNA
Rfam family: Eukaryotic small subunit ribosomal RNA
Source: RNAcentral